This 27-nucleotide non-coding RNA is filed under the name Rattus norvegicus (Norway rat). The record is from RNAcentral. Lineage: Eukaryota; Metazoa; Chordata; Mammalia; Rodentia; Muridae.
UUGAAUUUUUGAAAACUUGGGUCAAGC